AAUAGAUACCCGGGUAGUCCACGCCGUAAACGAUGAGUGCUAGGUGUUAGGGGGGUCCAACCCCUUAGUGCUGAAGUUAACACAUUAAGCACUCCGCCUGGGGAGUACGACCGCAAGGUUGAAACUCAAAGGAAUUGACGGGGGCCCGGCACAAGCAGUGGAGCAUGUGGUUUAAUUCGAAGCAACGCGAAGAACCUUACCAGGUCUUGACAUCCUCUGACAACCCUAGAGAUAGGGCGUUCCCCUUCGGGGGACAGAGUGACAGGUGGUGCAUGGUUGUCGUCAGCUCGUGUCGUGAGAUGUUGGGUUAAGUCCCGCAACGAGCGCAACCCUUGAUGUUAGUUGCCAGCAUUCAGUUGGGCACCCUAACGUGACUGCCGGUGACAAACCGGAGGAAGGUGGGGAUGACGUCAAAUCAUCAUGCCCCUUAUGACCUGGGCUACACACGUGCUACAAUGGGCGGUACAAAGGGCAGCGAAACCGCGAGGUGGAGCCAAUCCCAUAAAGCCGCUCUCAGUUCGGAUUGCAGGCUGCAACUCG
This 540-nucleotide ribosomal RNA is filed under the name uncultured bacterium. RNAcentral's name for it is "bacterial SSU rRNA". It matches the Rfam family "Bacterial small subunit ribosomal RNA", at positions 777 to 1314 of the family's 1533-position model. The record is from RNAcentral.